This 351-nucleotide ribosomal RNA is filed under the name uncultured soil bacterium. RNAcentral's name for it is "bacterial SSU rRNA". It matches the Rfam family "Bacterial small subunit ribosomal RNA", at positions 512 to 863 of the family's 1533-position model. The record is from RNAcentral.
CAGCCGCGGUAAUACGUAGGCAGCGAGCGUUGUUCGGAAUUACUGGGCGUAAAGAGUGUGUAGGCGGUGUCCUAAGUUCGGUGUGAAAUCUCCUGGCUUAACUGGGAGGGUGCGCCGGAAACUGGGAUGCUCGAGCGUGGGAGAGGAAAGCGGAAUUCCUGGUGUAGCGGUGAAAUGCGUAGAUAUCAGGAGGAACACCUGCGGUGUAGACGGCUUUCUGGACCAUAGCUGACGCUGAGACACGAAAGCGUGGGUAGCAAACAGGAUUAGAUACCCUGGUAGUCCACGCCCUAAACGAUGCAUACUUGGUGUCGGCCAUCCAGUUGGUCGGUGCCGGAGCUAACGCGUUAA